RNAcentral lists this ribosomal RNA (495 nucleotides) under uncultured bacterium. RNAcentral's name for it is "partial 16S ribosomal RNA". It matches the Rfam family "Bacterial small subunit ribosomal RNA", at positions 28 to 507 of the family's 1533-position model. The record is from RNAcentral.
GACGAACGCUGGCGGCGUGCCUAAUACAUGCGAGUCGAACGCUGACGGAGGAGCUUGCUUCUCUGGAUGAGUUGCGAACGGGUGAGUAACGCGUAGGUAACCUGCCUGGUAGCGGGGGAUAACUAUUGGAAACGAUAGCUAAUACCGCAUAAUAGUAGAUGUUGCAUGACAUUUGCUUAAAAGGUGCAAUUGCCUCACUACCAGAUGGCCCUGCGUUGUAUUAGCUAGUUGGUGGGGUAACGGCUCACCAAGGCGACGAUACAUAGCCGACCUGAGAGGGGGGUCGGCCACACUUGGAAUGAGACACGGCCCAGACGCCUACGGGAGGCAGCAGGAGGGAAUCUUCGGCAAGGGACGGAAGGCUGAACGAGCAACGCCGCGUGAGGGAAGAAGGGUCUCGGAUCGGAAAGCUCCGUUGUAAGAGAAGAACGAGUGUGAGAGUAGAAAGUUCACACUGUGACGGUACCUUAACAGAAAGGGACGGCUAACUACGUG